Molecule: non-coding RNA, 89 nt
Organism: Spinacia oleracea (spinach)
Lineage: Eukaryota; Viridiplantae; Streptophyta; Magnoliopsida; Caryophyllales; Amaranthaceae
Source: Rfam
UGCAAUCUGUGAUGAUUAUUUUUGUCUAUAUAUCCUGAUUUAUCAGUGAAGAUCUUAUAAAUUAUCACCAUCUUUCGGCUGAGAUUGCU